This 90-nucleotide transfer RNA is filed under the name Tepiditoga spiralis. RNAcentral describes it as "Oceanotoga sp. sy52 tRNA-Leu". It matches the Rfam family "tRNA". From Rfam's summary of the family: Transfer RNA (tRNA) molecules are approximately 80 nucleotides in length. Their secondary structure includes four short double-helical elements and three loops (D, anti-codon, and T loops). The record is from RNAcentral. Lineage: Bacteria; Thermotogati; Thermotogota; Thermotogae; Petrotogales; Petrotogaceae.
GCCGGGGUGGUGGAAUUGGUAGACGCGGUGGAUUCAAAAUCCACUGGGACUGAUACUCUCGUGCGGGUUCGAGUCCCGCCCUCGGCACCA